CAAAAGCCCAAGGAAGAGCUGGGCUGGCACCUGAUUUGGAUCAGAAGACCCUUUAAAGUUUUUCUGCAAAGCUUGGGUGAUCAGGAGCCACCUGUCCAUGCCCCAAGACCGGA
Lemur catta (Ring-tailed lemur) is the source of this 113-nucleotide long non-coding RNA. RefSeq lists it as uncharacterized. The transcript has 3 exons. NCBI's taxonomy places the organism in Eukaryota, Metazoa, Chordata, Mammalia, Primates, Lemuridae. The record is from RefSeq and is a predicted model, not a curated record.